This 672-nucleotide long non-coding RNA is filed under the name Cricetulus griseus (Chinese hamster). Its description in RNAcentral is "lncRNA (ENSCGRG00015041126.1)". The record is from RNAcentral. Lineage: Eukaryota; Metazoa; Chordata; Mammalia; Rodentia; Cricetidae.
GUAAUAAUUUCACUGAUGAACAUCUGAAAUCCAACAUGGAAACCCAUGUUCAAAAACGGUGAAGUGAAGAAUCCAAGGAAGUUGAGGAAGCCUGGCUGAGAAGACUGUGCACAAGUCAACCAUAGGGCGGUAACGACAAGAAGAAUCCUGGGAUAAAAGCUGCUGUUAAUGAACACAGCAGUUCGAUCAUUUAAAAUAUGCAAACUUCACUUUUCCUGUCUGUUACCAUAAACCAGAGAAUGGCCAAGAGCCAAACAUCAGAAAUGAAAUAAGGACCCCAGCCACACAACUCCAAGGAACUAAAUAUAACUGCAAACCCAACAAGGUUGGAGAAGACCCUGACCUCAAAAUGAGGAAGGCCUAUGUUUUGGAAACUUAGACCAGGAGACCACAGAAGCAACAAAUGUCUCUACUUGUGAAUCAAGUUGGCCGGAGUCUUCCCAUGGAUGAAGAUUCGACUAGCCUUUUUAUGCAUUGCAUACCAGAACAGUAUUCAACCGUGAAGAUAGAAGUGGAAGCUGACAGAAGGAAGAGCAAAUCUGCCUGGCACCUUUUCUCUGAGGAACUGAUAUGAUCUCACACAGAAAGAGUUCCCUUGGCAUACACAUAGCCAGUGGGUAGCCAUGAUAACUGGGGCCUUCAUGGUUGAAUGUGCCUCAAGUUGGAGUUUGU